This 611-nucleotide ribosomal RNA is filed under the name Listeria monocytogenes. RNAcentral's name for it is "partial 23S ribosomal RNA". It matches the Rfam family "Bacterial large subunit ribosomal RNA", at positions 586 to 1195 of the family's 2925-position model. The record is from RNAcentral. Lineage: Bacteria; Bacillati; Bacillota; Bacilli; Caryophanales; Listeriaceae.
UUAAUGGGUGAUAGCGUGCCUUUUGUAGAAUGAACCGGCGAGUUACGAUUUGUUGCAAGGUUAAGCGGAAAAAGCGGAGCCGUAGCGAAAGCGAGUCUGAAUAGGGCGCAUAAGUAACAGGUCGUAGACCCGAAACCAGGUGAUCUACCCAUGUCCAGGAUGAAGGUAAGGUAAUACUUACUGGAGGUCCGAACCCACGCACGUUGAAAAGUGCGGGGAUGAGGUGUGGGUAGCGGAGAAAUUCCAAUCGAACUUGGAGAUAGCUGGUUCUCUCCGAAAUAGCUUUAGGGCUAGCCUCGAGGUAAAGAGUCAUGGAGGUAGAGCACUGUUUGGACUAGGGGCCCUUCUCGGGUUACCGAAUUCAGAUAAACUCCGAAUGCCAUGUACUUAUACUCGGGAGUCAGACUGCGAGUGAUAAGAUCCGUAGUCGAAAGGGAAACAGCCCAGACCACCAGUUAAGGUCCCCAAAUAUAUGUUAAGUGGAAAAGGAUGUGGGGUUGCUUAGACAACCAGGAUGUUGGCUUAGAAGCAGCCACCAUUGAAAGAGUGCGUAAUAGCUCACUGGUCGAGUGACCCCGCGCCGAAAAUGUACCGGGGCUAAACAUAUUACC